Felis catus (domestic cat) is the source of this 877-nucleotide long non-coding RNA. RefSeq lists it as uncharacterized. The transcript has 3 exons. Lineage: Eukaryota; Metazoa; Chordata; Mammalia; Carnivora; Felidae. The record is from RefSeq and is a predicted model, not a curated record.
GUCCGACUAGGUCCUUCCCCCGGAACUAGCCUGGUUUCUGGUUUCUGAUUUCCGGGCCGGAACCGGUCCGACCCUGGACUCGGUCCGGUUUUUAAGUCAGACCCGGGCUGGCUCUUACACCGGGUCCGAUUUUUAAGGGGGACUCAAUUUUUCUUGUGCCAGUUUUUGGGCCCAGUCUGGAAAAAGAAAUGGUAAAAAAAAAAAAAGUUCUCAAGCUCCUAAGGCAAAACUGUGAAGGAUCCAUAAGGACUUAGCUAACCCGUCUUGAAGCGUCUUGAAGCAGCGAGAAAGCGGCGAGCUCCAGGGGCCCAACAGCUCAAGGAAACCUUCUGAAGGAUCUAUUGAUAAAGGAACCUGGCUUUCACUGAUGAACAAUGGAUUAUUUACAUAUGUAUUUAUACGCCAAUAGCAGGAAGCUUUUAAAAUUAGAAUGAAAGUGACCUUUCCAUUUCUGGAAUGACCAAAUAGACCAGAAAUCAAAACUAAAUUUAUCUGUGGUUUAACUUAGUUGAGCUAGGAGGGGAAAAAAUAAGAUAAGUAGAUAAAGUGUGCAUUGCAAAAGUGAUUCCUUUUUCAGGAAUAAAACGAAAGAUUUAUAGUCAAAUAGCAAAGAGGCCCAUAUUUAGGGUUGGUUUUCAAUAGCAACAAGAGUCCAAAUUAGGAAUAAAAUAAAAUAGGAAAUAAAUGUCAAGCAAUGUGCAUUUUCUUUUAUAAAAUCAAUACCUGAAAAAUGACUUUCUAUACACUGAUAAAUUUCAUAAGAUUUUUUUAAAAUAGUAUGAAUGCAACCUGAGAAACAUUAUCUGAUUUUAAAAUGUAGAUUUAAAAGGUAGAUAACUUGGCACAAAAACAGACACAUAGACCAAUGGAAUAGAAU